This 440-nucleotide ribosomal RNA is filed under the name uncultured bacterium. RNAcentral's name for it is "partial 16S ribosomal RNA". It matches the Rfam family "Bacterial small subunit ribosomal RNA", at positions 338 to 795 of the family's 1533-position model. The record is from RNAcentral.
CCUACGGGAGGCAGCAGUAGGGAAUAUUGCUCAAUGGGGGAAACCCUGAAGCAGCAACGCCGCGUGGAGGAUGAAGGUUUUCGGAUUGUUAACUCCUUUUGUUAGAGAAGAUAAUGACGGUAUCUAACGAAUAAGCACCGGCUAACUCCGUGCCAGCAGCCGCGGUAAUACGGAGGGUGCAAGCGUUACUCGGAAUCACUGGGCGUAAAGAGCGCGUAGGCGGGAUAGCAAGUCAGAUGUGAAAUCCUAUGGCUUAACAAUAGAACUGCAUUUGAAACUGUUAUUCUAGAGUAUGGGAGAGGUAGGUGGAAUUCUUGGUGUAGGGGUAAAAUCCGUAGAGAUCAAGAGGAAUACUCAUUGCGAAGGCGACCUGCUAGAACAUAACUGACGCUGAUGCGCGAAAGCGUGGGGAGCAAACAGGAUUAGAUACCCGAGUAGUC